UACGUAGGGUGCGAGCGUUACUCGGAAUCAUUGGGCGUAAAGCGCAUGUAGGCGGCUAUGUAAGUCUGAUGUGAAAGCCCUGGACUCAAUCCAGGAAGUGCAUUGGAUACUGCAUGGCUAGAGUAUAGGAGAGGUGGACGGAAUUCCUGGUGUAGAGGUGAAAUUCGUAGAUAUCAGGAGGAACAACAGAAGCGAAGGCGGUUCACUGGACUAUUACUGACGCUGAGAUGCGAAAGUGUGGGGAGCAAACAGGAUUAGAAACCCGGGUAGU
Molecule: ribosomal RNA, 271 nt
Filed under: uncultured bacterium
Lineage: Bacteria
Description: partial 16S ribosomal RNA
Rfam family: Bacterial small subunit ribosomal RNA
Source: RNAcentral